CUACGGGCUGCACCAGUGAGGAAUUUUGCGCAAUGGGGGAAACCCUGACGCAGCAACGCCGCGUGAGCGAAGAAGGCCCUCGGGUCGUAAAGCUCUGUCAAGUGGGAAAAAAAUUUUUUGAUCAAUAGUCAAAAGACUUGAUGGUACCACUGGAGGAAGCACCGGCUAACUCCGUGCCAGCAGCCGCGGUAAUACGGAGGGUGCGAGCGUUGUUCGGAUUCAUGGGCGUAAAGAGCGUGUAGGCGGUUUAUCAAGUCAGAUGGGAAAGCCCUGGGCUCAACCCGGGAAGUGCAUUUGAAACUGCGUCACUAGAGUAUGGGAGAGGAGAUUGGAAUUCCUGGUGUAGAGGUGAAAUUCGUAGAUAUCAGGAGGAACACCCGUGGCGAAGGCGAUUCUCUGGACCAAUACUGACGCUGAGACGCGAAAGCGUGGGGAGCAAACAGGAUUAGAUACCCCGGUAGUC
Molecule: ribosomal RNA, 463 nt
Filed under: uncultured bacterium
Lineage: Bacteria
Description: partial 16S ribosomal RNA
Rfam family: Bacterial small subunit ribosomal RNA
Source: RNAcentral